GAUGAACGCUGGCGGCGUGCCUAAUACAUGCAAGUCGAGCGAACGGACGAGAAGCUUGCUUCUCUGAUGUUAGCGGCGGACGGGUGAGUAACACGUGUAUAACCUACCUAUAAUACUGGGAUAACUUCGUGAAACCGGAUCUAAUACCGUAUAAUAUUUUUAACCGCAUGGUUCAAAAGUUAAUGACGUUCUUUCUGUCACUUAUAGAUUGUUCCGCGCUGCAUUAGCUAGUUGGUAAGGUAACGGCUUACCAAGGCAACGAUGCAUAUCCGACAUGAGAGGGGGAGCGGCCACACGGGAACUGAGACACGGACCAGAGUCCUACGGGAGGCAGCAGUAGGGAAUCGUCCGCAAUGGGCGAAAGCAUGACGGAGCAACGCCGCGUGAGUGAUGAAGGUCUUCGGAUCGUAAAACUCUGUUAUUAGGGAAGAACAUAUGUGUAAGUAAAUGUGCACAUCGUGACGGUACCUAAUCAGAAAGCCACGGCUAACUACGUG
RNAcentral lists this ribosomal RNA (497 nucleotides) under uncultured bacterium. RNAcentral describes it as "partial 16S ribosomal RNA". It matches the Rfam family "Bacterial small subunit ribosomal RNA", at positions 28 to 507 of the family's 1533-position model. The record is from RNAcentral.